UCUCCUGUAGCUCUGUAGUAGAGCGUCCGACCGGUGUGCGGAAGAUCACAGGUUCGACUCCUGUUGGGAGAA
Molecule: transfer RNA, 72 nt
Filed under: Desmophyllum pertusum
Lineage: Eukaryota; Metazoa; Cnidaria; Anthozoa; Scleractinia; Caryophylliidae
Description: Lophelia pertusa tRNA
Rfam family: tRNA
About the family: Transfer RNA (tRNA) molecules are approximately 80 nucleotides in length. Their secondary structure includes four short double-helical elements and three loops (D, anti-codon, and T loops).
Source: Rfam by way of RNAcentral